UAAUCAUCAAGGCAGGAUGCUUCCCAUU
This 28-nucleotide non-coding RNA is filed under the name Rattus norvegicus (Norway rat). Lineage: Eukaryota; Metazoa; Chordata; Mammalia; Rodentia; Muridae. The record is from RNAcentral.